Long non-coding RNA from Pan troglodytes (chimpanzee), 1142 nucleotides. RefSeq lists it as uncharacterized. The record is from RefSeq and is a predicted model, not a curated record. Lineage: Eukaryota; Metazoa; Chordata; Mammalia; Primates; Hominidae. The transcript is spliced from 4 exons.
GGCCCCGAGAGGCGGCUCCAGCACCUGAGCAAAGAAGCGUGCGGUGGCCCGGCGUCGGGGCUUCGAUAGCCCAGCGUCUGUUUGACCCAAAUCCUGCAGCUCCGAAUCCCCAGGCGGUCGGAGAUUCCCACAAAGAGCCCCACCGGCAGAAAACACGCUUCCCGGCAACAGGAUAGAGCGCCCUAACCGAGAGCCUCUCCCUAACGGGAUCACGCUCUGCCCGAGAGAAACGCGCCAGGCCCACCUCCUGAGACACAGACCUCACCUCAGAGAGCUACGUAUCCUAACACCAACACCCAGAUUGUGGCUCACUCCCAUGACACCAACCUCAAUCAGCAGUUCAGCUCUCACCUGUCUCUGGGGCAGCACCGUGCCCUGCUGUGGUAGAAGAAGCCUUGGGAGCUAGCAUGGUCCUGUUGCUGCCAUUGACAGAAGCAAGUGAGGUCCUCAAAUGUUCGGGAGAAACACUUCAGGGGCUCUGAGUCUGAUGCCAGCAAGGAGACAUCUAAGGAACAGCUGAGAUGAGGAAACGGAGAUACAGAGAAGUUAAAGAUUUGCCCAAGAUUACAUACUAAGACAUAAAGCUCAGGAGGUCAACCUUCAGAACCCACCUGCAUAACAACCAUGCUGUGCUAUGCUCUUGGGAGGCUAAUCUGCUGAGAAAUAACUCUCUGCCCCACAACCAUGCCAAAUGGUGGGUAUUUCCACUUUAAUAGUUCUGUGACUUUGCGCAUGAAUAAACACAUUCUCCCUGGAACUGGAAAUGCCCUCUCCAUUAUGGGUGGCCUCCACGGCUGCCUCUAAUCCCUUGCUACUCAAAAUGUGGUCUGUAGACCAGGAGCAACAGCAUUAUGUGGGCACUUAUUAGAAAUGCAGAAUCUUAGGCCCCGCCCCAGGCCUAUUAAAGUUGAACCUGCAUUUUGCCAAAAUCCCCAGAUGGUUUGAAUGUAACUUAAAGUUGGAGAAGCAAUGGUCUUCAGUACUUUUAUCCUGUUUGCUCAGAUUGGAGAUGGCUCACACUCCUUACCCUGCCCCCUUGUCUUGUAUCCAAUAAAUAACUGCGCAGCCUGGCAUUCGGGGACACUACUGGUUUCCGCGUCUUGGUGGUAGUGGUCCCCUGGACCCAGCUGUCUUUUCUUUUA